This 484-nucleotide ribosomal RNA is filed under the name uncultured bacterium. RNAcentral describes it as "partial 16S ribosomal RNA". It matches the Rfam family "Bacterial small subunit ribosomal RNA", at positions 30 to 507 of the family's 1533-position model. The record is from RNAcentral.
AUUGAACGCUGGCGGCAGGCCUAACACAUGCAAGUCGAGCGGAUGAAGGGAGCUUGCUCCUGGAUUCAGCGGCGGACGGGUGAGUAAUGCCUAGGAAUCUGCCUGGUAGUGGGGGAUAACGUCCGGAAACGGGCGCUAAUACCGCAUACGUCCUGAGGGAGAAAGUGGGGGAUCUUCGGACCUCACGCUAUCAGAUGAGCCUAGGUCGGAUUAGCUAGUUGGUGGGGUAAAGGCCUACCAAGGCGACGAUCCGUAACUGGUCUGAGAGGAUGAUCAGUCACACUAGAACUGAGACACGGUCCAGACUCCUACGGGAGGCCGCAGUGGGGAAUAUUGGACAAUGGGCGAAAGCCUGAUCCAGCCAUGCCGCGUGUGUGAAGAAGGUCUUCGGAUUGUAAAGCACUUUAAGUUGGGAGGAAGGGCAGUAAGUUAAUACCUGGCUGUUUUGACGUUACCAACAGAAUAAGCACCGGCUAACUUCGUG